ACGAACGCUGGCGGCGUGCCUAAUACAUGCAAGUUGAGCGCUGAAGGUUGGUACUUGUACCGACUGGAUGAGCAGCGAACGGGUGAGUAACGCGUGGGGAAUCUGCCUUUGAGCGGGGGACAACAUUUGGAAACGAAUGCUAAUACCGCAUAAAAACUUUAAACACAAGUUUUAAGUUUGAAAGAUGCAAUUGCAUCACUCAAAGAUGAUCCCGCGUUGUAUUAGCUAGUUGGUGAGGUAAAGGCUCACCAAGGCGAUGAUACAUAGCCGACCUGAGAGGGUGAUCGGCCACAAUGGGACUGAGACACGGCCCAAACUCCUACGGGAGGCAGCAGUAGGGAAUCUUCGGCAAUGGACGAAAGUCUGACCGAGCAACGCCGCGGGAGUGAAGAAGGGUUUCGGAUCGUAAAACUCUGUUGGUAGAGAAGAACGUUGGUGAGAGUGGAAAGCUCAUCAAGUGACGGUAACUACACAGAAAGGGACGGCUAACUACGUG
RNAcentral lists this ribosomal RNA (496 nucleotides) under uncultured bacterium. RNAcentral's name for it is "partial 16S ribosomal RNA". It matches the Rfam family "Bacterial small subunit ribosomal RNA", at positions 29 to 507 of the family's 1533-position model. The record is from RNAcentral.